This is a non-coding RNA of Leptonychotes weddellii (Weddell seal), 864 nucleotides long. The record is from RefSeq and is a predicted model, not a curated record. Lineage: Eukaryota; Metazoa; Chordata; Mammalia; Carnivora; Phocidae.
GUGGGAGGAGGCGGCGUUUCCGGCCGCGGUCGCUGUCCUGGGAGGCUGAGGCGAGAGGGAGCUGUCCGGGUGGGGAGCCCGCGCUACCUUCUUCCUUUUCCUCCUCCUCCUCCUCCGGGUGAGGGGAGCGAAGGUUGGGGCCCCGACCCCAUGGACCGGGAGGAGGCGGAGGCUGCCGAGAGCCGGGGCCCCGCUGUGUGGCCCUGAGCCCCGUGAACUGGUUCCGCCUGUCUGGAAGGCCAUGGAGAAGAGGCUGGGAGUCAAGCCAAGCCCUGUUUCCUGGAUUUUAUUGGGAUUUUGUUGGCAGAUAUCCGUGAAAUGGUUGAGAAGCCUGUACCUGUUUUAUACUUGCUUCUGCUUCAGUGCUCUGUGGUUGUCAACAGAUGCCAGUGAGAGCAGGUGCCAGCAGGCGAAGACAGAAUUUGGAGUUGGCCUGAGAUCUGGGGGAGAAAAUCACCUCCGGCUUCUUGAAGGAACCCCCUCUCUCCAGUUGUGUUGGGCUGCCUGCUGCCAGGACCCUGCGUGCCAUGCCUUUUGGUGGUUAGAAGGGAUGUGCAUUCAGACAGAUUGCAGCAGGCCCCAGAGCUGCCGCACUUUUAGGACAGACUCUUCCAAUUCCAUGCUGGUAUUUUUUAAAAAAUUCCAAACUACAGAUGAUUUGGGCUUUCCACCUGAAGAUGAUGUACCAUAUAUUCUGGGUCUAGGUUGGAGCAGGACAUCUUGGAGGAGACAGAGUCCACCCAGAGCUCCACUCAGACCCACUGUAUCUUCCAGGGACCAUCAGAGCUUAACCAGGAAGCUUUGGAAGAGAGAUAGUCCCAGCGAAGAAGUAACUACACAUAUGGUGACACAGCAUUCUGAAAU